RNAcentral lists this transfer RNA (74 nucleotides) under Planctomycetia bacterium. Its description in RNAcentral is "tRNA-Asn". It matches the Rfam family "tRNA". From Rfam's summary of the family: Transfer RNA (tRNA) molecules are approximately 80 nucleotides in length. The record is from RNAcentral. Lineage: Bacteria; Pseudomonadati; Planctomycetota; Planctomycetia.
GCCUCAAUAGCUCAGUUGGUUAGAGCGACUGACUGUUAAUCAGUAGGUCCCAGGUUCAAGUCCUUGUUGAGGCG